This 494-nucleotide ribosomal RNA is filed under the name uncultured Gammaproteobacteria bacterium. Its description in RNAcentral is "bacterial SSU rRNA". It matches the Rfam family "Bacterial small subunit ribosomal RNA", at positions 91 to 578 of the family's 1533-position model. Lineage: Bacteria; Pseudomonadati; Pseudomonadota; Gammaproteobacteria. The record is from RNAcentral.
ACGAGCGGCGGACGGGUGAGUAAUGUCUGGGGAUCUGCCUGAUGGAGGGGGAUAACUACUGGAAACGGUAGCUAAUACCGCAUAACGUCGCAAGACCAAAGAGGGGGACCUUCGGGCCUCUUGCCAUCAGAUGAACCCAGAUGGGAUUAGCUAGUAGGUGGGGUAAUGGCUCACCUAGGCGACGAUCCCUAGCUGGUCUGAGAGGAUGACCAGCCACACUGGAACUGAGACACGGUCCAGACUCCUACGGGAGGCAGCAGUGGGGAAUAUUGCACAAUGGGCGCAAGCCUGAUGCAGCCAUGCCGCGUGUAUGAAGAAGCCUUCGGGUUGUAAAGUACUUUCAGCGAGGAGGAAGGCAUUAAGGUUAAUAACCUUAGUGAUUGACGUUACUCGCAGAAGAAGCACCGGCUAACUCCGUGGCCAGCAGCCGCGGUAAUACNGGAGGGUGCAAAGCGUUAAUCGGAAUUUCUGGGCGUAAAGCGCACGCCAGGCGG